ACCAGCCCGCACCCCCCACCCCAUCCGACUCCCACCAUCAACGGAAGCGUUUAGUGCCAUGUGUGCCCCCAGAGAGGGGGCCGCGGGAAGGGGGAGAAAAAAGAAGAAGAAGACGACGACAAGCAAGAGGCUGCAGCUUGUGUGCCAGUGGGGACAAAGAGGCUGCUGCCAGUUGCCACGGACCACCCCCUCCACCCUCCACAAACCCCCAAGCCCACCCCCUCCACCCCCCAGAUGCUGAAGAUUGGAGCCCAGAACGAAAGGGUUGUGUGCGAGGAAGCCAUCUUGAUGGAGAAGCUGGCUGCCUGCUUCCUAAAAUGGCUGUGUUGGCAUGAGAACCAAGUUGAUGAUACCCUGCUUCGCUGUGCAGUUCCAUUGUUCCUGACCCAACGUCUUCCAUCAGUUCCAUCCGUUCCACACCUUCCAUCAAUUUGACCUGAAUGAAGAUGACUGGAUUGGCCACCACAACCUGCUCAAACCUAUUGGACGAUCAAAUGAACUGAACUGCAGUGCAAGUACUAUUAGAGGAAUGACAUAAGACGAAUUUGAGCAAAUCUUGGUACUUGAACCUAAUGACAAUCUAUAUAAAAACAUAUGCAUGCUUCAAGCUGCAUAUCGUUGUUCUACAAAGGCCAGGUGCGUUCAGACUGCAGAGCCCCGACCGACGAGAAUGUGCCUUAAUGUGUGAACUGUUUACAAUGAAAGAGUAGUGUGCGGCUAUUAAUAGAGUAGACGAUACUGUACAGUGAGUGCUAAUGAACGUGUGAGUCAUUUCUGUUCCGCUUCUGUUUUAAAUGUGCUUUUAAUGUCUCUCUGUGACUAAAUGAACUGUA
Molecule: long non-coding RNA, 833 nt
Filed under: Astyanax mexicanus (Mexican tetra)
Lineage: Eukaryota; Metazoa; Chordata; Actinopteri; Characiformes; Acestrorhamphidae
Description: lncRNA (ENSAMXG00005018649.1)
Source: RNAcentral